This 414-nucleotide ribosomal RNA is filed under the name uncultured bacterium. RNAcentral's name for it is "partial 16S ribosomal RNA". It matches the Rfam family "Bacterial small subunit ribosomal RNA", at positions 361 to 774 of the family's 1533-position model. The record is from RNAcentral.
AUAUUGCGCAAUGGAGGGAACUCUGACGCAGCGACGCCUCGUGAGCGCUGAAGGCUUUCGGAUCGUAAAGCUCUGUCCUUGGGGAAUAAUGCUGCCAUUAUUGGCCACGUGACGGUACCCCAGGAGGAAGCCCCCGCCAACUAUCACCGAGCAGCCGCGGUAAUACGUAGGGGGCAAGCGUUGUCCGGAAUUAUUGGGCGUAAAGGGUGCGUAGGCGGCCUUUUAAGUCAGAUGUGAAAAAACACGGCUUAAACGUGGGGUUGCAUUUGAAACUGGAGGGCUUGAGUAUCGGAGAGGGUAGUGGGAUUCCCAGUAUAGCGGUGGAAUGCGUAGAUAUUGGGAGGAACACCAGUGGCGAAGGCGACUACCUGGACGAAAACUGACGCUGAGGCACGAAAGCUAGGGGAGCAAACA